This 407-nucleotide ribosomal RNA is filed under the name uncultured bacterium. Its description in RNAcentral is "partial 16S ribosomal RNA". It matches the Rfam family "Bacterial small subunit ribosomal RNA", at positions 28 to 526 of the family's 1533-position model. The record is from RNAcentral.
GACGAACGCUGGCGGCGUGCCUAAUACAUGCAAGUAGAACGCAGUUUCGCACGGGUGAGUAACGCGUAGGUACCUGCCUCAUAUCGGGGGAUAACUAUUGUAAACGAUAGCUAAUACCGCAUACUGUGAGAUUGACCUGCGUUGGAUUAGCUAGUUGGUGAGGUAAAGUCUACAAAAGGCGACGAUACAUAGCCUACCUGAGAGGGUGAUCGGCAACACUGGAACGGAGACACGGCCCAGACUCCGACGUGAGGCAGCAGUAGGGAAUCUUCGGCAAUGGACGGAAGUCUGACCGAGCAACGCCGCGUGAGUGAAGAAGGUUUUCGGAUCGUAAAACUCGGUUGUUAGAGAAGCGGUAUCUAACCAGAAAGCCACGGCUAACUACGUGCCAGCAGCCGCGGUAAUUC